GGCUCAGUGGCAGAGCACUCCCUUGGUAAGGGAAAGGUCAUCAGUCCAAUUCUGAUCACCG
RNAcentral lists this transfer RNA (61 nucleotides) under bacterium. RNAcentral describes it as "tRNA-Thr". It matches the Rfam family "tRNA", at positions 9 to 65 of the family's 71-position model. Rfam says of the family: Transfer RNA (tRNA) molecules are approximately 80 nucleotides in length. Their secondary structure includes four short double-helical elements and three loops (D, anti-codon, and T loops). The record is from RNAcentral.